Molecule: ribosomal RNA, 759 nt
Filed under: Curtobacterium sp.
Lineage: Bacteria; Bacillati; Actinomycetota; Actinomycetes; Micrococcales; Microbacteriaceae
Description: bacterial SSU rRNA
Rfam family: Bacterial small subunit ribosomal RNA
Source: RNAcentral
CAUGCAAGUCGAACGAUGAUGCCCAGCUUGCUGGGUGGAUUAGUGGCGAACGGGUGAGUAACACGUGAGUAACCUGCCCCUGACUCUGGGAUAAGCGUUGGAAACGACGUCUAAUACUGGAUAUGACUACUGGUCGCAUGGCCUGGUGGUGGAAAGAUUUUUUGGUUGGGGAUGGACUCGCGGCCUAUCAGCUUGUUGGUGAGGUAAUGGCUCACCAAGGCGACGACGGGUAGCCGGCCUGAGAGGGUGACCGGCCACACUGGGACUGAGACACGGCCCAGACUCCUACGGGAGGCAGCAGUGGGGAAUAUUGCACAAUGGGCGAAAGCCUGAUGCAGCAACGCCGCGUGAGGGAUGACGGCCUUCGGGUUGUAAACCUCUUUUAGUAGGGAAGAAGCGAAAGUGACGGUACCUGCAGAAAAAGCACCGGCUAACUACGUGCCAGCAGCCGCGGUAAUACGUAGGGUGCAAGCGUUGUCCGGAAUUAUUGGGCGUAAAGAGCUCGUAGGCGGUUUGUCGCGUCUGCUGUGAAAUCCCGAGGCUCAACCUCGGGCUUGCAGUGGGUACGGGCAGACUAGAGUGCGGUAGGGGAGAUUGGAAUUCCUGGUGUAGCGGUGGAAUGCGCAGAUAUCAGGAGGAACACCGAUGGCGAAGGCAGAUCUCUGGGCCGUAACUGACGCUGAGGAGCGAAAGCGUGGGGAGCGAACAGGAUUAGAUACCCUGGUAGUCCACGCCGUAAACGUUGGGCGCUAGAUGUAG